This 497-nucleotide ribosomal RNA is filed under the name uncultured bacterium. RNAcentral's name for it is "partial 16S ribosomal RNA". It matches the Rfam family "Bacterial small subunit ribosomal RNA", at positions 28 to 507 of the family's 1533-position model. The record is from RNAcentral.
GACGAACGCUGGCGGCGUGCCUAAUACAUGCAAGUUGAGCGCUGAAGGUUGGUACUUGUACCAACUGGAUGAGCAGCGAACGGGUGAGUAACGCGUGGGGAAUCUGCCUUUGAGCGGGGGACAACAUUUGGAAACGAAUGCUAAUACCGCAUAAAAACUUUAAACACAAGUUUUAAGUUUGAAAGAUGCAAUUGCAUCACUCAAAGAUGAUCCCGCGUUGUAUUAGCUAGUUGGUGAGGUAAAGGCUCACCAAGGCGAUGAUACAUAGCCGACCUGAGAGGGUGAUCGGCCACAUUGGGACUGAGACACGGCCCAAACUCCUACGGGAGGCAGCAGUAGGGAAUCUUCGGCAAUGGACGAAAGUCUGACCGAGCAACGCCGCGUGAGUGAAGAAGGUUUUCGGAUCGUAAAACUCUGUUGGUAGAGAAGAACGUUGGUGAGAGUGGAAAGCUCAUCAAGUGACGGUAACUACCCAGAAAGGGACGACUAACUACGUG